CGAAAUCGGUAGACGCUACGGACUUUUAUAGUAAGAGGAAAAUCCGUCGAUUUAAGAAAUCGUGAGGGUUCAAG
This 74-nucleotide transfer RNA is filed under the name Adesmia occulta. Its description in RNAcentral is "partial tRNA-Leu". Lineage: Eukaryota; Viridiplantae; Streptophyta; Magnoliopsida; Fabales; Fabaceae. The record is from RNAcentral.